RNAcentral lists this long non-coding RNA (10657 nucleotides) under Arabidopsis thaliana (thale cress). RNAcentral's name for it is "long non-coding RNA (ATHA_LNC000174)". The record is from RNAcentral. Lineage: Eukaryota; Viridiplantae; Streptophyta; Magnoliopsida; Brassicales; Brassicaceae.
UAGAAAAAAACUAUAAUUAGUUUAAUCUUCAAGUUGGUAACAAGUGUAAAAAUUUAGAAACAUAACAUAUUAGAAAAUAUUUUCAUUUAAUAUUACAAAAAUUAGAAUAUAUAUCCAUAUAAUUGACUACAUUUAGAGUUUUUUUUUGGACAAAUUAAUUUUUUCAUUUUUUUUUUAAAAGUUGAAGACAAAGCACAAUUUUUUUUUUGUUAAAGGGUUUGAAGACAAAGCACAUUGGUUUGGCCGAGAACUAUAUAUAAACAUAUGUGUAGAGCUCCAGUCUUCAAACAUUUUAUUUUCUACAAACAUUUUUUAAAAUUUCUAAAUUUGUUAAGAGUUUAGUAAAAUAGUGAUUUGGCUUGAUAUGGAUCAAAAUAAAAUGUUAGAGAAAGUUCUUACAAACACCGAUCUUUCCCACAUGGGUAGGUUAUAUUAACCAAAAUUGCAGAUAGAGAAGAUACUACGCACUAUAGAAAAUUUUGUAAUGCCUCCAAGUGGUCUUCAAGUGGAAGUUUUAGAGAAUAACAAGAGUUACUGGGUAACAAUAAAAAUAGACCAUGAUAAAUAUUUUAUGUGCUCAGGGUGGAAUAAUAUAGAAGCAAGAAGGCUCAAAACAGGCGAUAAAAUUAUAUUGUAUUUACAAGAUAACAAAUUCAUUUUUACUAUGCAUUGAUUCUUUAUUGUUUAUUUCUUAAAAAUGUUAUCUCUCAUUAUUCUAUUUUAAUAUACCUAUUCUAAUAUUUUGUCUUAAUGAUAAUAUUUUGGAUGGGUUUAUGUAUUUUAUAACUACAAAAAUAGCUUAUCAAUUUAAAUGAGAUCUAAAUUCUAAAUUAUGGGUAUGUGAGUAUAUGUGAGUAUAAAGUUUGGACUAUGCAUUGAUCAAAAGCUUUUAAUCGAAGGAUAUGGAAGUUAUCGAUUAGAAAGAUGAGGUUUUACUAUCUUCCUUAUUGUUUCUCUGAAUGGUUUCUCGGCGCAUAAAUAUAUAUAAUGGAUCACCAAGAAUUUUCAUGUUAUUUUGCUCAUUAGAAAUCACCAAGAAUUUUCAUGUAUAGCAUUUCCGAACUUAGAAUUUUCUAAUAUGAAACAAUUUAGAACUAAAAGGCCUUUUGGGUUGUGUCCAAAAAGAAAAACCUCACACGUUGACAAUGUAAAAUUCCAUGAUUUAUUAUAAACUCUUUCAUGCAUGCAAUUGGUUAGUUUUUGCAAGUUGGGCUACAAUGACGUUUUUGUUAUCGGUUUCUCAAUCACUCCUUUUCUGUCUCCAUGUAUCGUCGUCACUUUCCUCUAUUUUACUUGAAAAUAAUACCAUUAAUUCAAAACAUCUUUUAAUUUGGUCGGUUCAAAACAAAAUAAAAAACCAUAGCCAUUAUUUGAUAGUAACUGCAGUUCAAUUGCAUUUUUAUUUGUGAUAAUAGAUGGAGCAAAAUUAGUUUGUCAACAAUUUUUUCUUUCGUAAUACUAAAAUUUAUUUUCUUUGGUAGAAGCUUGUCAGUGUGUAACAUGAAGAGAGGAUUUUGGAACCGGAUACAAUACAUUGAUAAGAGAGGAAUCAAUGAUUUGAUUAAACAAAGCCAAGACGAACCGGACUAAACCGGAGAUAGAAAAAAUACUUUAUAAACCAGAAAUCAAUAGAAACACACCAAGGGAAGAAGAAGGGAAAGCAAGCAAGCACCAGAAGAUUCUAAGUAUACUACUAACAAGCUUUAAACUGAACACAAACCCCAAACCGAAGAGAAUAAAAACAGAGUAUUCUACAUAGUCUUGCAUAGUUACGUUUCAUCAGCCAAAACUUGAAAAGAAGAGAAGCCAGUGAAAACAAAAGUUUGAAUCUCUGAACAAGGAGCAACCGAAAUAAACAGUUUACCUUUAGUUUAAGAAGAGCAACAUGCUCGUUUCGCGCCUCCAGAUGUGUCAUCGACGUUAAUCGUAGUUCCUUGCCCAGGGAUUGCAGAAUUAGCUGCUGCUGCUUCUUGUGCAGCCAGUGCCUUUUUGCUUAUGAUAUGGUAGAUCUCACCUAAGAUGGUCUGAAACGCUUUCUCGACGUUUGUUGCUUCAAGAGCAGAUGUCUCCAGGAAAGAGAGACCUUCCUUCUCAGCCAAACUUUGACCAUCUUCCUCAGCAACGGAUCUCAAGUGGUUCAGAUCGGAUUUGUUCCCAGCCAUCAUGAUCACAAUGUUGGAAUCUGCAUGGUCUCUCAGUUCGCGCAGCCACCUUAAAACAUUGUCAAAGGUCUGUCUCUUAGUAAUGUCGUAGACAAGAAGUGCACCCACUGCGCCUCUGUAAUACGCGCUUGUGAUCGCCCUGUACCUCUCCUGACCUGCAGUGUCCCAGAUCUGGGCCUUAAUGGUCUUUCCUUCAACCUGUGUAUGCAUGAGAGAUUCACCGUAACAACCAGUUAGAUCUUAGGUAUUGAAGCAUUCCCAGGUUUAUGAAUAAGAAUGCUAAUUCAACAAUCAAAAGUAAAGAACAUAUAUCUUCUCAGUUGUUAAAACCAGGUUAGUAACAUUAUUAACAAUCAACAUUUUAAAUGCAUCUUUCCGCAUUCAACUACAUAAGUGUAUCAUAGAAUUCCUCUUGUCAAAAAAUUUAUCGGUUGACUUUACGAAAGUAUAAAGGUGGACAAGGUCAAGCAUGACAAAUGAUCAGGAAAUAGAAUGAAUUAUUGAGACAAGCUGUGAGAAUCUUCUUAUUUUUUUUAAUUGGCCUUCACGACCAUCCAUUUAUAGUCUUAAAAUGAGAAAAGCAUCUGUCAUAACUCAUAGCCAGCACAACUAAGAUUUUUUCUCUUGAACAAAAGAUUCAGUAGCUGAGAAAAAAUCCGCCGUCUACUCUCUCAAAACACUGUAUUCUUCAAUCUUAAGAAACCAACGCAACCAAAAACCUUAAGACCUAUCACUUAAUUGCUAUCCAAAUCAAAGAAACUAACGAAGAAGCAACUUUAAACGAAACAAAACAGACUAAAAGCUCUAGAGCCAUCACUUGAAAUUAACCAUCGAAUACCUGAAUUCUACACUACACUAAUGAGGUCAUGAAGCUACAAGCAAAACCAAAUUACAUAAUUGAAAUAUACACUACACUAAUGUGGUCAUGAAGCUACAAGCAAAACCAAAAUACAUAACUGAAGACGGUAAAUCUAUGUAUAGCAGUGAAAGUAAAAACCUUCACGGAUUAUAGCUAAAGAUAAAUCAAAACAGAGACAAGCUAAUAAGAAGAAAAAACCUAUCCCAAAAUCCCAUCUUUAAGCCUCUUAACAUUAUAUACCAAACCUAAAUUACUAUCUCUUCGUAUUACUCUGAUUCUAACAGCAAAUAUUCUGAAUUUCACUCCUAAAGUACUUAAAGAGAGAAACAGAGAAAAAUUCGAAUCUCACCUGAGUAGUUCUGGUGGCGAAUUCAACACCAAUAGUGGAUUUAGAUUCCAAGCAAAACUCAUUCCUGGUGAAUCUCGACAAGAUAUUCGAUUUCCCAACACCAGAAUCACCAAUCAACACAAUCUUAAACAAAUAAUCAUAUUCCUGAUCUACUCUAUGCGUCAUUUUCUCCUUCUCUCUUCGAUCUCGCAAUAAAACCUACAAAUUCGAAAGAAAAAAAAGACAGAAACUUUAUUACUUUUCUCCAAAAUCAAACCCAGAUCCAACGAAAUUAAGACGAACCCACAAGUAAUUCAGAAGACGAAAAACGAUUCGUGUACCUUAAUGGCGGAUGAAUCGAGAAAAAUAUCGAAUUUUUUGAGAUCUAUAAAGAAAGAAACUUUGAGUAAGAAGCUUUAAAUGUUUGUUCUCACUCACAAUCAAUGGAGGAAAAUGGAAUUUUUCUUGUUUAAUUUGAUGGGCUUCGUCUUCUUCUUCGUGAGAAAGAGGAGAGGAGCAAUAAAGUGAAUAUACGGUGUAUCUAUACGUAUCUCUGUGUCAGGGAAUAGAAACGACGUCGCGUUUGAGAAAAAGACAAAGACUUCAGUUAUCGUGCUGAUGUGGCAACUAAUGAUUCGUUAGCAGGCUGGCAAAAAGUAAGAGCAUGUUCCAAGGGGUAUUAUUGGAAAUGUAGUUUUGAGCUUUAUAAUUGCGUUAAAGAGCAAUGAUUGUAUUUGUGAGUGUGGUAAUGAUAAUAAGCAACGUCAAUUUGAAAAUGUCGAAUUAACAACUUUAAUAGAAGAAGAAAAUAAUGAAAUGAGGAUGUGAUGAAUUGACCACUACAUUCCCAACUUCCCAUAAUAUUUGUAAGAAUAUAGUUCUGAUCCAUAUAAUAUAAUUAAACAAUGUGGUGGUUCUGGUGGCGAUGGCCGAUGGGCAAAUGAAGAUGGUAGUGGAUCAUGUGGCGGCUUUAGAAGGCAACAUGCUACAAGUCUAGUGGAAAAUACGUCGGAGAUUGCGAUGGUAAUAGGCUAAUAGCUAUAGAGGACGAGACUAGUCUUUUGGUGCGACACAUAUAGAAUGUUACAUUCUAAUCUGAUGAAGAUGAGGACCAUUAAGUCAUUAACGCUAAAUUAUUAAUCCCUGAAACGUCAUACUUUUUUUCAACCUAACGUAAUAACUUCAUUUUGUUAUAAAUUUGAUUUUGUGCCCUCUAAUAAACCAAGUUUUUUUUUUGUUUUUUUUUAUCGCAAAAACAUCAAAUAAUUAAAUUUGUUCGAAAAAGUUAGUUUCGUGGGCCAACUACUCCGAAACGAGAGGGUUUAUAUGGGAAAAAAGUACACCUCGUACUCUUGCACUCUUUGCGAGGCAGACAACACGGACAUUCAUAGUGCGUGGAAUAUGAGAUAAAGAAAACCGACCAAAACUAGCUUUAAAUCUAGCAAAAUCUUUUCCACCGGCCAAUCUUUACUUUCAUCAAGGAUCUUAAGUAAGCUUAAGCAAUCGGUUUCAAAAUGUAUAGAUUGGAUACUUUGUUGUAAAGUGCACUCCAUUGUCCAAAGAAGAGCUCCGAGUUCUGCGUAGAGGGCAUUGCGAUAACAAUUCUGGCUACUUUGACCAAACAGCUUGGUCGUUGAGCUAGUCAACAUGAACCCCAAACUAACAUUCUGGUUAAUACCAGUCCACGAAGCGUCAAUUUGGCACAUAGCUUCUCCUCUUUGAACGUGCGCAUACUCACAAGCUUCAACUACUUCAGGUUCUUCCUCCGCAUCAAUGUCAUGUUCUAGUUCUUGGGCAACUCUCCAACUUUUCGACUCAGAAAUUACAUGCGCUAGAAUAUAUGGUGUUAUGUACUCCCGUAACGUAUUUUCAAAAAGUAUAUAUUUGACCUAUUUAAACAUUUAUUACUUUAGGUUAUGAAUAAUCCUGACGCAAUUCUUGCUGAUUAGUCUUGACGCAAUUGUACGUUGCUAUUGAUUUUAAACGAAUACAGCACAAAAGAAGGCAAUCGCGUGGACGAAAGAGGAGCCGAUACAUACAAUUGCAUACAUCUAUUUGUAUACUAUAUUUGCUUUCUAUUGGAUAAUUCACCCUAACUAUUAAGAGUACAUUUAGUCACAAUAUCUAAAUUAAAUCUAUAAAUGUGAAUAUGCACAUAGAGUUUUCACAAGUGGUCAUAUUUUAAGGAUAAUAUUUGAUACAGUUCUUAAUUUCUUUGGUACAUUUUUUGUUACCUCUCUAGAAAGGUUAAUUAAUUAGAUACAUCGCCUGCAAAAGUACUUUUAAGAAAAAAUAUUCGCGUGGAGAAUAUUUCGUUCGUUCAUGUAAGGUCAAAUGAUGAACCUCUUACCCAUGAUUAGGCUGCCAUAAUUAAUAAACCGAAUUCAGAAUAUACAUUCCUUACUUCCCAUCAUUCUGAAUUGCCCAAAUUAUACUCAUUUCUAGUCAUAAUAAAAAAAAAAUUAACUUCUAGUGGUUAGUCAAUCUUUUCUUUUGUCAAGAGAAUAAAUAUCAAGUCAAAGAAAAUUCUUUCUAUUUAAUAUUUUUCUCUAUAUUCAUGAACAAACAAUACAAGUAAAAGAAAAAUAAAAGAUGAUGCAAGGAUUAGUAGAACAAGAAACGGUAGCAAAUUAAACGGUGCAUUCAAAAACCUAUUAAUAUGGAAAGUACAUUAUACUGUCAUUAAUAUAUAAGAAUAAUUUGAGAAACAAAUCUUAAAGGAGUUUGAUGAGGACUUUGAUUACGUUCUAUGUACAUACAGUAUCUCUCCCUAUAAUAAUCCUUUCAUUCUCACAAUCUUGUAAAAUUUGAUUAUAACCAAAUCAAUCAAAAAAAUGACAAAACCUGCUGUCUCCUAUUGUCUCCUCUCAUGUAUCUUUGCCUUGCUUGUUGUGAGUUUCGCUUCAGCAGACAAAGAUGAUCAAGACAAACAGGUAAUUGCACAAAUCCUUCUUCGUUAUUUGAUUAUUAUAAUCAUAUCAUGGUUCUAAUUAUAUUACUAAUGACUAACCAUAACUAUGAUGAUGAUACUUGUAGGAGUAUAUAGUAUACAUGGGUGCACUUCCUGCUCGUGUUGACUACAUGCCUAUGUCCCAUCACACUAGUAUUCUUCAAGAUGUCACCGGAGAGAGGUGCACUGAAUUUAUUCAAUUUUAUUGUUUAGUGUUAAUGUGAUUAUUUGUAUAUGGUUUCAUGUCUAUCGAUCAAAGUCUAACAAAUGUAUUUCUUAUUUGUAGUUCGAUCGAGGAUCGUUUGGUUAGGAAUUAUAAAAGGAGUUUCAACGGAUUCGCAGCCCGGCUAACCAAAUCCGAAAGAGAGAUACUAGCAAGUAAGUGAACAUAAAUGGAUUACGACCCGAAAGUUUUCAAAAAUAAUAAUCAAAACUCAAAUUAGUUUUCUUCUCUAUGAAAAAACUUUAUUAACUCAAUGUGUUGCUAUUUCUUAAUAUCUAAUUUCUUAGGUAUGGACGAAGUUGUGUCUGUGUUUCCUAACAAGAAACUGAAGCUCCAAACAACAACGUCAUGGAAUUUCAUGGGCCUCAAGGAAAGCAAACGUACAAAGCGAAAUACUAUCAUAGAGAGUGAUACAAUCAUCGGUGUCAUCGACAGUGGAAUCUAUCCGGAAUCUGAUAGUUUUAGUGGCAAAGGCUUUGGUCCUCCUCCUAAAAAAUGGAAAGGUGUUUGCAAAGGCGGCAAAAACUUCACUUGGAACAAGUAUAAAACUCUUAAAUUUGAUCAUACAAUUAAAUUGUGUAAGGAUUUUUCAAUUGCUUAGUUAUAAUGAAUGUGGAUGAUUUGUUUGUUUUAUAGCAAGCUUAUUGGAGCACGGUACUACACCCCCAAACUAGAGGGGUUUCCUGAGUCAGCGAGGGACUACAUGGGACAUGGAUCGCACACAGCAUCCACGGCUGCUGGAAAUGCUGUGAAGCAUGUGAGCUUUUACGGCCUCGGCAAUGGAACCGCAAGAGGUGGCGUUCCAGCUGCAAGAAUAGCGGUUUAUAAAGUAUGUGACCCUGGCGUCGAUGGGUGCACAACUGACGGAAUUCUAGCGGCAUUUGAUGAUGCCAUAGCGGAUAAGGUGGACAUCAUUACCAUAUCCAUUGGUGGUGAUAAUAGUUCGCCUUUUGAGGAGGACCCUAUCGCGAUCGGGGCUUUCCAUGCCAUGGCCAAGGGAAUCCUCAUAGUGAAUUCCGCAGGAAACAGUGGUCCAGAACCUAGCACGGUCGCGAGUAUUGCGCCGUGGAUGUUCACUGUUGCUGCUAGUAAUACUAACCGUGCGUUUGUCACUAAAGUUGUUCUCGGAAACGGCAAGACAGUUGUGGUAAAGUACCAAGGGACAAAUCUUUGUUCCUCUCUUACGACAACAUAUUAUCAUACAUAUCUUGUCCUCUUUUAACAUUACUGCUUGUUGCUAAACAGGGAAGAUCGGUAAAUUCGUUCGAUCUUAACGGAAAGAAGUACCCUCUAGUAUACGGGAAAUCAGCUUCAAGUAGUUGUGGUGCUGCUUCCGCCGGGUAACUUCCAUCACAAGAAACAUUAUUUUGCAUCUAUUAUGCUCUUCACAUGAGGGUUUAAACGGUGAUUUUCGUUUUCAGGUUUUGCUCACCAGGGUGCCUAGAUAGUAAACGUGUGAAAGGAAAGAUUGUUUUAUGUGAUUCCCCGCAAAAUCCCGAUGAAGCUCAAGCUAUGGGAGCCAUUGCAUCUAUUGUUAGGAGCCACCGUACAGACGUGGCAAGUAUCUUCUCUUUUCCAGUCUCUGUUCUAUUGGAAGACGACUAUAACACUGUUCUCUCGUAUAUGAACUCCACCAAGUAAUAUCCAUAACUCUGUCUUAUUAUAUUUCUUACAAAUACUCCAUCCUAAAGCUCAAACUUUUGUUUGCUUUGGCCAGGAAUCCCAAAGCGGCUGUUCUGAAAAGUGAGACAAUCUUUAACCAGAGAGCUCCCGUCGUGGCUUCCUACUUUUCUCGUGGCCCAAACACAAUCAUUCCUGACAUAUUGAAGGUAUAUAUAGAAAAGGAGAAAAAUUAAAUUACUCUGUAAAUUUGACUGAAAGUGAAUAUGUAUUGCAGCCGGAUAUAACGGCACCAGGAUCAGAGAUCGUAGCUGCUUAUUCUCCUGAUGCCCCACCAAGCAUAUCAGAUACAAGACGUGUAAAGUACUCCGUUGAUACCGGAACUUCAAUGUCUUGUCCGCAUGUUGCUGGUGUAGCUGCCUACUUAAAAUCGUUUCACCCACGCUGGUCUCCCUCCAUGAUCCAAUCAGCCAUCAUGACUACCGGUAUGCAAAAUCAUAUCCACUCUGUUUUCUGAAUAUUCUCAUCAUUUUUUUUACUCACAACAUAACUUUCUUGUAUUGCAAGAAAACUUAUAAUACUCUGUUUUUUGGUGUUUUUUGUAGCUUGGCCAAUGAAUGCAUCUACUUCUCCAUUUAACGAGUUGGCCGAGUUUGCUUACGGAGCUGGCCAUGUCGAUCCCAUAACUGCAAUUCAUCCUGGACUAGUCUAUGAAGCUAAUAAAUCCGACCACAUCGCCUUUCUCUGCGGCUUGAACUACACUGCAAAGAACUUAAGACUCAUCUCCGGUGAUAGCAGCAGUUGCACAAAAGAACAGACUAAAUCGCUACCCCGAAACUUAAACUAUCCUUCGAUGACUGCUCAAGUAUCGGCGGCAAAACCAUUCAAAGUGAUUUUCCGUAGAACAGUCACUAACGUCGGUAGGCCUAACGCUACAUACAAAGCAAAGGUAGUCGGUUCUAAACUCAAAGUCAAGGUUGUUCCGGCAGUCUUGUCUUUAAAGUCAUUGUACGAGAAGAAGUCCUUCACGGUAACAGCUUCCGGCGCCGGUCCCAAAGCUGAAAAUCUUGUCUCCGCACAGCUGAUCUGGUCUGAUGGUGUCCACUUUGUGAGAAGCCCCAUUGUUGUUUAUGCUACGAACUGAUGAGUCUGAACCAGUUAAUGUUUCUAUCUGUUCAUGCUAUAUGUUUGUUGUUGUUUUUAUUUUUUCCUCCAUCACUUUAGUUCUAAACAUCAAAUCUAGUUAUUUUUGCUGUUCUUGUAGAAAACCUUGUUGUUUUAAAUUUCGAAAUGGUCAUGAGAGUUUUGAUUUAAUUUGGAGAAUGAUCGAUGUACUUGUUUUCUUAAAUAAAAGAUAUUGAUUAGAAUCACAUUCUACUCUUAAAAUUAGGUAUAUGUAACGCUAAUUAAGGUUUUGAGUUUUGUAGCAUAUCUAUUGUUUUUUAUACCACUUUAGAUCAGAACCUUACAAGAGUUGAAAUACAAAGGGUAAAUACAUAUGUUGGCAAGGAAAACAAUCCUUCCAAGAACUAAGCCGGCGAGCACAAGACAUCUCCCGGGGACUAAGACAGAUCUAAUGGGGAAAAAACCCAAAUUAAAGAACAACAAUGAUACUAAACCUAAACUUUCAAGAUUCAUUACUAAAAAAACUCAAAACUGAAAAGCAAAGUCUAAAUCCAAAUUUUUUAAAUUAAAACAGAUCUGAAACUAUAGAUCUAUCCAAAGGAAAUAAAACCAAGACUCUCCUUACCAUAAACGGCGCUGAGACAUCAAUCAACAUCCCGGGACCCAAAAGACAAAGUCUCAAGAAGAAAGGAAGGAGAUCUAGAUCUUCAAUGGAGAGAGAUCUGCAUCUGAGGCGUUGAAGGAUAGAAAAAAACCUGCCUCUGCCAUAGUUGGAACGGCCAGAAUUGAAACUGCAGACGAAGGAGACAAACAAGCAACAAAACCGGAAGAGGAAAAGAUUUAGACUUUACAGAUUUAGAUCUGAGAAUUUAGAAAAGAAACCGUUAGAAGAAAAUAGGAUUCAGAUCACAUUAAACCCACAAGAAAUCGAAACUAGAGACACUAAAACAAAGAAAUCCGGUUCCGGUGCUGAAAAAGCCACCGGAACCGGUAACCCUAGGCGGCGGCGGAGCUUUGUAGAGAGAAAAAAAAAAUUUGUUUUAAGAGAGAGAAGGAGUUGUCGUCAGUAUGUUUUCAUUUCUAUUGCAGUCAAAAAAAAUAAAAAAAAAUUCAUUUCUAUUCAUCCAUAUAAAUAAAAACCGGUGGUGUUGGUUUAGGUGAUCUAUAGUUUUAUUAAUCAAUGUGAACAUAUAUUUUAAUUAUUUCAUGAAAAUAAAAAUGAAUACAAAUUCUACCUUAUGGAGUCUGAAACAUACGUUGGACCCAUAGUAGAAUUCGUUUUCUACCUUACACAUUCCACUAGAUCAACCGGUACUAAGAAUCUUCCAAACAUGGCCAUUGGAAUCUAAAGCGACAACGACCUUGUUGCAGAAAAAGUCGUCAAUCUAAG